UCCAUGGAGGGCAGAGGUAUAAACUCUUAGCAAACAGACAGGGCUUCACAGUGAAGUGAGAAAACACUUUGCAAGAUUCAUGGUAUGAAUUAAGCUGCUAGUUGAUUAGCUUUUGCAGCAAUUUUUCCAACCACUCAAGAAAGGCCAAUGUGUGCUACAAUAAAUCCAGAGAUCUUAGAGCUGAUGUUCCUGUAUCUUAGCCUCUUGCUUUCUAAAAUGUCAGCAGUCCUUGUAAAUCAGGAGGUUCUGCUUGGUAUUCUGGGCACUGUGCCAUGGGAGCUGGGCUGGAGGGAGCACCAUGACUGUUGCCUUUUGGCUGGAACCCUCCAGAGUUUUCUGGAGAGAGCACACUGUGUGGGAAAAGACCACCUCGAUUUGUUGCCAGGAGAUGUCACUACAGCUCAGGAGUAACUAUUUCAUCCCUUGAGACCCGUUUUUAUGGUGUCAGGGUCUCCUCUGAGUGCGGGCAGUGUGGGUGCAGUGGGGCUCGGCCCUCUGUAGCUGGAGGGGCAGCACUGAGACUGUGCAGAUCAUUAAUUGGUGUACAGACUACUAAAGAGAAGAUGUACUAACGUGUACUGAGUGUGCUGCUCCCCAAAAAGGCCCUUUCUGCAUCCCUAGGGAGUGUACAGGUGCUGUGUGAAUUUG
Sturnus vulgaris (Common starling) is the source of this 648-nucleotide non-coding RNA. Lineage: Eukaryota; Metazoa; Chordata; Aves; Passeriformes; Sturnidae. The record is from RefSeq and is a predicted model, not a curated record.